CAAUAGUGUCCAUUAUCGUUUCCAUUUCAGUGUCCGUUAUAUCUGGUCUGUUAAUGGCACGAUAUGAAACAAGCUCUUUGUUUUGGUUACACAAUACAAACAUAUCAUCUUCCAAAGUAAUAAAAUUAAGAUACUGAUCAAACACCUUAGCCACUUGAGCUACAGCAUUCGCACCUAUGGCAGCAUUGGCAAUAUCUUCCAGUUUACUUCUUGAAAUGGCGGAAAUAAAGUUUAAAUAAUAAGAUUCAUAAAGCUGGUUUCGAAGAUCCUGGCACAUUCUGUCAAUAUUUUCUUCUGUUGGCAUUACAAAGUAGACAGCUGGAACAUCUGGAAUAGGAUCCCGAUCUGAAUGCAAAAGCAGAUGCAAAGUGAUUCCCAUAUCUCUCAGCUCUUUCACUGACAGCAAAGGUGAGAUGAUAUCUUGGCCAAAUCUGUCAUAAAUGAGAACCUUCCAUACCGGCUCCCCUGUGCUGUUUUUAACAGGAGGAACAUUGAAAUUCAGCAUACGUUUCAAAGCCACCGUCUGCUUCUCCCGG
Molecule: long non-coding RNA, 536 nt
Filed under: Gallus gallus (chicken)
Lineage: Eukaryota; Metazoa; Chordata; Aves; Galliformes; Phasianidae
Source: RNAcentral